Molecule: ribosomal RNA, 407 nt
Filed under: uncultured bacterium
Lineage: Bacteria
Description: bacterial SSU rRNA
Rfam family: Bacterial small subunit ribosomal RNA
Source: RNAcentral
GUGGGGAAUAUUGCACAAUGGGCGCAAGCCUGAUGCAGCAACGCCGCGUGAAGGAAGACGGUUUUCGGAUUGUAAACUUCUGUUCUUAGUGAAGAAAUUUGACGGUAGCUAAGGAGCAAGCCACGGCUAACUACGUGCCAGCAGCCGCGGUAAUACGUAGGUGGCAAGCGUUGUCCGGAAUUACUGGGUGUAAAGGGAGCGCAGGCGGGAAAGCAAGUCAGCUGUGAAAUCCAUGGGCUCAACCCAUGAACUGCAGUUGAAACUGUUUUUCUUGAGUGAAGUAGAGGUUGGCGGAAUUCCGAGUGUAGCGGUGAAAUGCGUAGAUAUUCGGAGGAACACCGGUGGCGAAGGCGGCCAACUGGGCUUUUACUGACGCUGAGGCUCGAAAGUGUGGGGAGCAAACAGGA